GCGCACAUACCAUACAUAUAGUAUAAAAAUUUCGAUUCUAUUGUAAACAAAAGGAAAAUCAUGAUGAGAUUCAAUCAUUUGAAAUCUACUUCUUCAAGAUCUAAUUUAUAUUAAUAAUCUUUCGUUGUGUAAAUCAUGUCUUUACAUAGGACUUUUAAUUAUAAAUGCAUAAAAGAAGUAUACUUAACAAUGCAAUGUAUCAUUGUAUAUAUAUGAAUGUACCUAAUGCCAUGUAACAUGAAUCUUGUA
This 249-nucleotide long non-coding RNA is filed under the name Gossypium barbadense (sea-island cotton). Its description in RNAcentral is "long non-coding RNA (GBAR_LNC019929)". The record is from RNAcentral. Lineage: Eukaryota; Viridiplantae; Streptophyta; Magnoliopsida; Malvales; Malvaceae.